CGACCCUUCGUCUGGACACCAGGUGUUCCUGAUCAGGACUGAGGGUCGUCACGUGACUGAGCCACACCUGCAAUCAGUGGCUCAGCUGCAUUUAACUGCUCUCCUCUCCAGUUGAGAGGGGCUCGCUGACAGGAGCUGGUGUCUGUGGAGCUCCAGCCUCACGGGAGCUGUUGGGCCAGGUGGCUGGUGGCUGACUGAUUCCCCUGGCGGUGGUGGUCCCUUCACUCCCUGUACAGUAGUGCACUUGGGUGUCCGUCAAUGGUUUUGUUUUGUUCACGUGUGGUGUGGUACAUCAGGACCCUUCCCUUCCCCUCUUCAGUUAGUCAUCUCUGCCUGGUGCAGUAUGACUCUGACACCUACUCUGAUAGAAAGAUGUGGCCCAUCAGCAGUAAUUGGAGGAGCUGUGGUGGUUGGGUUUCUCGAGGAGGCGGCGGCGGCGGCGUGAUCGAUCCCGU
Molecule: long non-coding RNA, 455 nt
Organism: Amphiprion ocellaris (clown anemonefish)
Lineage: Eukaryota; Metazoa; Chordata; Actinopteri; Pomacentridae
Source: Ensembl